UUUCACGUAAUGAAGUGGCUGCAGUGGAUCCUCAAUAUUUAUUUUUAUCUUGAGAAGUGAAUGAGGUUUAGGGUUAUUAUUAGACACAAUCUCAUAGCAUGUGACAAGCAUAGCUAAUGCAGGGACAGAAUCCCCUGAGACAAGGGCGUUGACAGGCGAAGCGCCAGCACCCCAAAUCAAGACUUUUUUUUAUUUUCCGUGGCGGGAAAUCGAGCUUUUCCAGUUAUCUACAGCCUGUAGAAAUUCAACGCUGAGAAUUUCCAACUAUUGUCCGGCUUUGGUCCUCUGCCACCGACCUAUCCUUUGAAGGAGAAUGCUAAAACCAGUUGGUUGCUCUUCAGUAGUUCUUUCUCUAUCGUACACAUAUAUUUGUAUGUCGACACAUGCCGUGUGCGACGACGUAGACACUUCUCAACAAUUGAGUGACUUGAAUUUGGCCAUGAUGACCGAAUGUCAUUGGACCGUGGAGUCGAGUAGAGGGCUCAGGCUCGAUCGGCACAACGGUUCAUUGCAGGUUGAACGAGGAAUGAACGUCUACUCUUUCUUUCCAAAACUGGCUGGGCACACGUCAAUGAGACGGAAGCUAGUGCCAAACCAGUCCUUGGAAGUUUUGUUGUGCUGCUGGACUUUCAAUCAUCAUGUAAAGUAUCUUCCGGUUUCUGAGUCUUCGUGUGCGCCUGAAGAGCUACACUGUGUAGAGAUGUUGGAAGUUUAUCCUGCUCACGACACUGCACCAAGUACAAGCACUUCCUCGGCACUGCCUGAGCCCUGUUCUGUGUUUACUGUGACCAGGAGAAGCAACUAGAAAUUUGGAGCUUGAGCUGGAACGCUGGUGCUCUCUCUCUCUCUCUCUCUCUCUCUCUCUCUCUCUCUCCGUCACGUUCUGCCACUGUCCGAAACCGGUGCAAGUGCUAGCAUGUCGAAGCGCAUUGUGUCUGAGUCACGCCCUCACUCUCCUGCUCCUCCCUCAUAUGCCCAAGACAGUAUGACCAACUGUGAAUACAGUUCAUGCCCACAUGUGAACUUGUGUGGUUCUCUUGUAGUAAGCUGCCACGUGUGUACUUGCACGUGUUGUGUACAUGUGUGUGUAUGUGUGUGUGUGCGUUUGUGUGUAUCUAUGGGACUGCGUUCUCCUAUUCUCCGGUGCCUUCGAGGCCCACGCAACCCUUGUGGCAGUGGCUCGACAGCACAGGGCAGGAGUGUGCGCGCAUGCAUGUGUAUAUGUCGGCGUGUGUGUGUGCGCGCGCGUGUGCAUGCGCAUAUGUGGGUGUGCGCGCGUGCAUGCAGAUGUGUGUGUGGGGGUGUGCGCACGCUGAUGCUCAGCUCUCCAGAAUUAUGUCCGUGUGCGUAGCCAGUGUAUGGUGGCAACAUAGCCUUCCUUCAUGUAUAUGUGUAUGCGCAUACUAUUUAGGAUGCUUUACUGUUUUUGGUGGGAUCCAGUUACAUAGUUUUCAGUUCAAUUAUUUAUGUUUAUACAGCUGCUGUAUUUGUAGUGCAACUUUAUGUCUUUCUGCUGGUCAAUUUGUCGUCUUGAUGGUGUUCUAAUACUGAUAUACGUAGAAAAUAUUA
Long non-coding RNA from Sycon ciliatum, 1569 nucleotides. RefSeq lists it as uncharacterized. The record is from RefSeq and is a predicted model, not a curated record. The transcript has 2 exons. Lineage: Eukaryota; Metazoa; Porifera; Calcarea; Leucosolenida; Sycettidae.